This 434-nucleotide ribosomal RNA is filed under the name uncultured bacterium. RNAcentral describes it as "bacterial SSU rRNA". It matches the Rfam family "Bacterial small subunit ribosomal RNA", at positions 957 to 1391 of the family's 1533-position model. The record is from RNAcentral.
GAACGCGAAGAACCUUACCCACCUUUGACAUGUACGGAAGUCGCUAGAGAUAGCUUCGUGCUCGAAAGAGAGCCGUAACACAGGUGCUGCAUGGCUGUCGUCAGCUCGUGUCGUGAGAUGUUGGGUUAAGUCCCGCAACGAGCGCAACCCUUGCCAUUAGUUGCUACAUUUAGUUGAGCACUCUAAUGGGACUGCCGGUGACAAACCGGAGGAAGGUGGGGAUGACGUCAAGUCCUCAUGGCCCUUAUAGGUGGGGCUACACACGUCAUACAAUGGCUGGUACAAAGGGUUGCCAACCCGCGAGGGGGAGCUAAUCCCAUAAAGCCAGUCGUAGUCCGGAUCGCAGUCUGCAACUCGACUGCGUGAAGUCGGAAUCGCUAGUAAUCGUGGAUCAGAAUGUCACGGUGAAUACGUUCCCGGGUCUUGUACACACC